CCUUGCAGUGUUCGAUGUGUAUUCUUUGAAAUCGUCGUCUCAAGCGAACUUGACUAUUUUAAUCGUCAUUAAGCGGUUAUUACCAUGUCCAUCUUAAUUAGUAUCCAGUGAUGUCAUAUGAUUGACGAGUUUCUUAAACCUUCCAGCUUGAUUCGCAACAGUUGUUUACUAGUGUCUGCUUCACCAGCACUAAAAUGAAAACAGCAACAUACUUCCUCAUGUCGUGCGUGUUUUCUCUGUGUCUGUCAGACGAAACAUGUAAAUGUUGGGAGGGUUUCACUCCGCAAAACCAAACAUUCUGCAGGGCAAUAGAAAAAGGGAACAGAGUUUACACAAUUAUACCGUGCGGUUUGGAAGAACCUCCUACAUGCAAAUGUCAAGAAUCGACUGGGAAAGAAGUGACUUUACCGUUUGGCGAGUUGAACUGUGUAGGAAAAACUGCAUAUGAAAGAGUGCGUUGCGAACCAGAAAUAGAGUGGAAUGACUGGUUUGACAAGCAUCCAGAAUUUGUAUUGAACAAUUAAAUUAAAUGUAUAGCAAUUUGUAUAAAUUGAUUCUAAUUGUGUGUUAAUUUAUGAUUAUUGAUGUAUAAUUGUACAGUAAUUAAACGGACUUGGUCAAUUAUCCGGUUGAUUUUUAUUUUAUAUUUAUGUUCGAUAAAUGCUGUUUCUUAGAAUUAAUCGGAAUAAGUGUAUUUAUUAAAACAUGUGUCAUACAGUUUUAAUUUAAUUGCUCUCAUCCUAGUUAAAACAAUAAAUAAUGUUAAAUAAAAAGAGUUUU
Molecule: long non-coding RNA, 780 nt
Organism: Aethina tumida (small hive beetle)
Lineage: Eukaryota; Metazoa; Arthropoda; Insecta; Coleoptera; Nitidulidae
Exons: 2
Source: RefSeq, a predicted model, not a curated record